Molecule: ribosomal RNA, 459 nt
Filed under: Solicoccozyma keelungensis
Lineage: Eukaryota; Fungi; Basidiomycota; Tremellomycetes; Filobasidiales; Piskurozymaceae
Description: eukaryotic LSU rRNA
Rfam family: Eukaryotic large subunit ribosomal RNA
Source: RNAcentral
CGGGAAGAGCUCAAAUUUGAAAUCUGGCAGCCUUUGGUUGUCCGAGUUGUAAUCUAUAGAAACGUUUUCCGCGUUGGCCCAUGUACAAGUCCGCUGGAAUGCGGCGUCAUAGAGGGUGAGAAUCCCGUCCUUGACAUGGACUACCAGUGCUUUGUGAUACGUUUUCAACGAGUCGAGUUGUUUGGGAAUGCAGCUCAAAAUGGGUGGUAAAUUCCAUCUAAAGCUAAAUAUUGGCGAGAGACCGAUAGCGAACAAGUACCGUGAGGGAAAGAUGAAAAGCACUUUGGAAAGAGAGUUAAACAGUAUGUGAAAUUGUUGAAAGGGAAACGAUUGAAGUCAGUCGUGGGUCUUGCAUUCAGCUGGUUCUGCCAGUGUACUUGCUUGACCUGGGGUCAACAUCGGUUUUGACUGUCGGAAAAGGUUGGGGGGAAUGUAGCACUCUCGGGUGAACUUAUAGCC